RNAcentral lists this ribosomal RNA (468 nucleotides) under uncultured bacterium. RNAcentral describes it as "partial 16S ribosomal RNA". It matches the Rfam family "Bacterial small subunit ribosomal RNA", at positions 28 to 507 of the family's 1533-position model. The record is from RNAcentral.
GACGAACGCUGGCGGCGUGCUUAACACAUGCAAGUCGAACGGAAAGGCCCUGCUUUUGUGGGGUGCUCGAGUGGCGAACGGGUGAGUAACACGUGAGUAACCUGCCCUUGACUUUGGGAUAACUUCAGGAAACUGGGGCUAAUACCGGAUAGGAGCUCCUGCUGCAUGGUGGGGGUUGGAAAGUUUCGGCGGUUGGGGAUGGACUCGCGGCUUAUCAGCUUGUUGGUGGGGUAGUGGCUUACCAAGGCUUUGACGGGUAGCCGGCCUGGGAGGGUGGCCGGCCACAUUGGGACUGAGAUACGGCCCAGACUCCUACGGGAGGCAGCAGUGGGGAAUAUUGCACAAUGGGCUGAAGCCUGAUGCAGCAACGCCGCGUGCGGGAUGACGGCCUUCGGGUUGUAAACCGCUUUCGCCUGUGACGAAGCGUGAGUGACGGUAAUGGGUAAAGAAGCACCGGCUAACUACGUG